AACGAACGCUGGCGGCAUGCCUAACACAUGCAAGUCGAACGAGACCUUCGGGUCUAGUGGCGCACGGGUGCGUAACGCGUGGGAACCUGCCCUUAGGUUCGGAAUAACUCCCCGAAAGGGGUGCUAAUACCGGAUAAUGUCUUCGGACCAAAGAUUUAUCGCCUUUGGAUGGGCCCGCGUUGGAUUAGCUAGUUGGUAGGGUAAAAGCCUACCAAGGCGACGAGCCAUAGCUGGGCUGAGAGGAUGAUCAGCCACACUGGGACUGAGACACGGCCCAGACUCCUACGGGAGGCAGCAGUGGGGAAUAUAGGACAAUGGGCGAAAGCCUGGUCCAGCAAUGCCGCGUGAGUGAUGAAGGCCUUAGGGUUGUAAAGCUCUUUUACACGGGAUGAUAAUGACAGUACCGGGAGAAUAAGCUCCGGCUAACUCCGUG
RNAcentral lists this ribosomal RNA (433 nucleotides) under uncultured bacterium. Its description in RNAcentral is "partial 16S ribosomal RNA". It matches the Rfam family "Bacterial small subunit ribosomal RNA", at positions 29 to 507 of the family's 1533-position model. The record is from RNAcentral.